GGUACCGUCAUUUUCUUCCCUACUGAAAGCGGUUUACAACCCUAGGGCCUUCUUCCCGCACGCGGCGUUGCUGCAUCAGGCUUUCGCCCAUUGUGCAAGAUUCCCC
RNAcentral lists this ribosomal RNA (106 nucleotides) under uncultured bacterium. RNAcentral describes it as "partial 16S ribosomal RNA". The record is from RNAcentral.